RNAcentral lists this long non-coding RNA (364 nucleotides) under Gossypium raimondii (Peruvian cotton). RNAcentral describes it as "long non-coding RNA (GRAI_LNC005576)". Lineage: Eukaryota; Viridiplantae; Streptophyta; Magnoliopsida; Malvales; Malvaceae. The record is from RNAcentral.
UUGGAAUAGCCUUCUAGAAGCUGUCUAUUGGUUAUUUCCAUGCAUCAUAAAGCCACCGUCCACCCAGGGGAAGUAGGAGAUUCUUAAAGAAAACUUAAACAUUAAGUAUGCAUGUACUCUCCUCCAACGCAUUAAAUGCAGCCACCACCUUAAAUCCAAGUGCAUGGACGACAAAGGAGCAUGAACAUGGCUGGUCACACAUGCUUUUAAUGUUUGAAUAACAUAAACUUUAGUUUAUUGGCCCUUUUAAAUUCAUGUAUUCCCAUUUAUGGCCGAAUGUGUCCAUUAGUCUACAUAGGUUGAACGACAGAAAUGUGCAAGUGUACACAAUCACAACAAGUAAUAAAGUGACAAGUAAAUGUCG